AGAGCGAACGCUGGCGGCAGGCCUAACACAUGCAAGUCGAGCGCCCCGCAAGGGGAGCGGCAGACGGGAUAGUAACACGUGGGAACGUACCCUUCAGUUCGGAACAACCCAGGGAAACUUGGGCUAAUACCGGAUACGUCCGUAAGGAGAAAGAUUUAUCGCUGAGGGAUCGGCCCGCGUCUGAUUAGCUAGUUGGUGGGGUAAUGGCCCACCAAGGCGACGAUCAGUAGCUGGUCUGAGAGGAUGAUCAGCAUCACUGGGACUGAGACACGGCCCAGACUCCUACGGGAGGCAGCAGUGGGGAAUAUUGGACAAUGGGCGCAAGCCUGAUCCAGCCAUGCCGCGUGGAUGAUGAAGGCCCUAGGGUUGUAAAGUCCUUUCGGCGGGGAAGAUAAUGACGGUACCCGCAGAAGAAGCCCCGGCUAACUUCGUGCCAGCAGCCGC
RNAcentral lists this ribosomal RNA (444 nucleotides) under uncultured bacterium. RNAcentral's name for it is "SSU rRNA". It matches the Rfam family "Bacterial small subunit ribosomal RNA", at positions 26 to 518 of the family's 1533-position model. The record is from RNAcentral.